AUUUUUGGCUUCAGGGACCAUAAUAUCCCUGUCAUCAUUACUCAACUAAGCUGUCAUAAUGUGAAAGCAGCCAUAGACAAUAGGUAAACAAAGGGUGUUACUGUGUGCCAAUGACCCUUGAUGCCCCAAAACAGCCAACAGGUGGGGCUGGUCCACGGGCCAUAGCUUUUGGACUCUGGGUCCAGGCGAUGGUGGCGCAGAUUAAAAGAAGCAAAUGGAGGCUCUGAGGCCAGCAGGGCUGAAAGCCUGCUCUGCAUUCACUAAGUGUGUGACCUCGGUUUUUAACCCUACAGAUUAGAAGCAUGAGAUACAUUCACCUUGUUCGGCUACCAUCACCACUACCCUUCUCCAGAGCUCUUUUCCUCCUACAAAACAGAAACUCAGUAUCCACAGUAAGUCCUCCUUCCCCAUCCCUCCAGCCCCUGGUAACAACCAUUCCACUUUCUGUCUCAUCCAUGUUGUAUUAUACGGUACAUACUAGAAUUUCCUUCCUUAAAAAGGCUGAGUAAUAUUCUAUGUACGUUCAUGCUGCAUUCUGCUUAUCCAUUCAUCUGUCGGUGAACACUUAGGUUGCUUCUGCCUUUUGGCUAAUGAGAAUAAUACUGUUAUGAACAUGUCGUACAGAUAUCCUUAAACCCUCUCUAAUUGGUCCUCUGAGGGUUCCACUGGGUUUCUAGCAAGACCCUCACUGAUAUAUAGUAUGUGUGUGUAGUUUCAUCAUGUCAUGUUGAGUAAUUUAGUUAAUACGUGUAAAGCACUUAACGCGAGUGCUCAAUUAAUGCCUGCUGUUUGUUACCGGGAAGGUUUCUCUGUGGGGCAGAGACUAGACUGCCGUGCCUGUUCAUUUUCAGCACCAGCAAACUAUCUUCUCUAGCUGAGUUAGGCUGGGACCAUAUGACCACAUUCUUUCUUGAGAGUGGAAUGUGACUGGAGUGAGGCGCCCCCCUUCUAAGCCCGGCCCAUCGAAACCUCUGACAUCCAAUCCUUUGUGUCUUCUCUCUGUGUGGGCUAGACAUCCACCUUGCAGGACGACCCUGGAUGCCAUGUGUUAAGGGUGGCAGUGCUGCCAUCAGCCAGGGUCCCUUGAUGUGUGGAGCAGAGGUAGGUGCUAGAAUUAUCACCCACAUUUCACAGAUGAUAAAAUCAGGCGAUUUGGUAACUUGUCGAGCAGGUGGCAGAGACUAGAUUUGAAAUAAAGCAAGCGGUCUGGCUCCAGGCUCCACACUCCUAAACACUGCUGUACACACUCUCUCAAACUCAGGAACAAGUUUUCACGAUUAGAUUUUCCUUUUCCGGGACGGCUCUCAGACACAGUCUAAACUCAGGGUUGCUGCCGUGGGAGUACGUGGAGCUAACCAGCGCACCAAGGUGCCCUGGCUGUCCAACUGAUGGCAUUUCAUCCCCCACUGGUACAGGCAGCAGAAGGCCAUGGGGGGCAGGAGGAACGCUGAUCAGUGCUUGCAGCAGCUUCCUGGGCUACCUCUGUCCUGCUCUUCCAUGUUCGGUUUUUUCUCUUAGAGCCUGUGGCAUGCUCCAACCAUGAGGAAAGUAGACUGAAGAGAGAGGGGGUACUCCUAGCUCCAUGGCAGCAAAGCCAGGAUUACCUACUGACAUUACAGCUGGCAGCCUCCGGCUGCUGGCACCCUUUUAAAGAGAGCAGGAUGGCAAUUUUCCAGCUAAGUUCUCCCAAUUAGGCAGUUAGAGAAACAUUAUCCACCUCAGGAUAAAGCUGAUGAAAAGGAGGGGGCAGGGACGAAGAGGAGGGGUGCUAAUAUGUCUGCACUAGCCCUCACAGCCGCCCAGAGCACAAAGUCCCAGGGGUGCUCAGUGUUCACGGAGAAGCAUCUGUGGGGUCUGAUGAGCUGCCUGGGGGGCACACAGGUGACCUGUCUGCCAUGGCCACUUGAAGGUCCCCAUCUUUCUAAGAUCCCCAAAUUCUGCCAGCUCUGGUCAGAUAGGGUGGGCAAAGGGUGGCAGAAGAAGAGAAUUAACGUCAAUUCAGAGUCUGAUGAGGCUUCCCUCACCCACCCCAACGUGACUCAAUGUAGGGACUAGGGAAACUAAGGUCCCCCCCCACCCCGCCCUGACCCCUUGCAAGGAAAGCCCGAGAGACGACACAGGUCAUGAUUCCUGACUGCUAACCCCAGCCAUUCUCAGGAUUCCAUAGCUUAUUCACUAACCAAGCCUUUCCUAAGCACAGACAUCUUCUACUCAUCAUCACAUUCAGUUCUCACAACAACCUGGGACAUGGGGACUCCUCUUCUUCCCGAUUUGCACACGAGGAAACUGAGAUUUAGUCAAACUUACAGAAGUAGACCAGGGGUUCCACAUGCAGACCAAGCCAUGUGUCCAACUCCUCAGAAAGGCCUGGGGUCCUAGGACCAGAAGUCUAUUCAUCAACACACAUCUACUUAACGAUAAUGAGAAUGAUACCAAUAGUGCCUUGAGCACCAUGCUAAGUGCCUAACCCAGAAUAGCUAAUUUAACCCUUACAACUAUUUCCGUCAAAUGAGUCAUCACUCCUUACUUUGCAAACCUGGAGACUCUGGACCAGAGAGAUUAAGGGACUGGGCCAGGGCCGUGCACUAUGGUGGGAUUCAAGGCUUAGUGCUCCUGACUCAGGCUGGUGCUCCAGACCUCCGUGUCAGUCCACCUCUGCUUUGGACAAGGCCCAUCUAGCAGAACAGGCUCAAUGGGCUCUGCAGAGGUGGAGGGUGGUCCCUGCACUUGGGGCAGGUAUUCUACAAAGUGGUGAAAAAUACGUUCCCAGUUUACAAGUGUUAAAGGAGCUUGCAGUGAGGGAGAAGGGGAGGGAGAGAGAGAGGAGAGAGAUCCUGGGGAUAGAGCUGUCGCAGAUGCUUGUGAGGAAUGAGGAUCUGAAUGGAGCAUUACUGCUGGAAGUCCAGACAAAGGAGGCCAUUCUGAGCAGAGAUGUGGUAAGGCAGGUGUCUGAGGGACCACCAGCUCUCUGGUCUGGUACGCACAGAGAGGCAGCACAGGGCAUGAUGCCAUAAAUACGGGCUGACACCACACCGUGCAGGGAUUUGGAUGUCACAUACCAAGUUCGGAUUUUACCUUUGUGAAAUAGGGAACUAUUGAAUGUUUGGGGGCAACGUGCCAAGAUACCUCUCCAGGAUGAAUGGCCUGGUUAUGGUAUUUGGGAUGGAUUUGUAGAGGGAAAGACUAGGAGUCCGAAGACAUCGAUAAUGGAAUGAAGGGGGGAGUUAUGAAUGCCAUACUGGCAGAACACGGUGGCUAACCGGAAAAAUAUAGGAAACCAGGCCUGUUAUUAUCAUCACUGAUAAGACGACAGUUUGCGUACAGGAUCUUUCUGCUAAUUAUAUUUCCUUUGGCCACAAAUGCUUCCACAAAAGGUUGAGGUUGGAGGGAGAACCAGCUAAUCAAGCCUGCAUUACAAGAAGAAGCUCCAACUGCUUGGCACUAGCACUAGAGGAGAGGCUUCAGGCAUCAAACACCUACCGUCCUCUGAUUCCUUCACAAUUGUGGCCUCGUUGUUUAUGGGGAGUCUAAUAAAAAGCAAGGGAUUGCUGAUUAGCUGAAGUUUCCCUUGGCCGGGAUCAAAGUAAAUCUUUCAGAUUUAUACAACCCUUCAGGAAGGGCUGCAACCUUAUGCUUCCUUCAUUCCCACGACAUUGGGAUGGGCUGGGGGACCCUCAACCAGGGACAUACAGCAAAUCAGAAGCUGCCCUGGGCCCAGAAGAAACAUGGCUUGCUAGGAAUGGCUUGAGGGGGACAGUCCUUCUCGGUUAUUUGGGGACAGUGUGGAACGGGAAGGCACCAAUAAAUAUGUGUGCCUGUACUAUUCCACCAUUAAAAAUGAAGAAAAUACCACUUUACAAACUGCUAGGAUACGUAAGCUCACAAUGGACUUACAGUCUGUAAAAAGUACUGCUCUGUGACCGGCAUGAGUGAGCUGGGAGAGCCAAACCAGAAGUGAGUGAGCAGAGAUCUCACGAAAUUACUUCCUAGAUGUAGAUACUCAUCACUGGGCCAUUCAUGGCAAUUACCCUGGACGCUCUCCCCUCCCCCUCCCUCCUCUCCCCCCUCACCUCUUGCCAGCCCAAUUUUGCCAGUAAUUUUGCAAGCCGUGGAUAUGUUUCAUUGGGACUGGGCUCAAGUCUGCCAGAAAAAGCAAAUUCAGGCCAGCAAUAGUGGAAUUUGAACAUGAUGGCAGAGCCAAGCUGCUGCCAACCAGAACGUCACCUCAAGUUUGCUGUAGGGAAGAGGAAGGCAGGAUUUCUAAGCACUCGUGGACGGUAUUAGCCAAUUUCUGUUUAUUUAAAACAUCUUAUGCAACCCACAGUCAAGGGUUCCCAUUCCCUGGAAAUAUCUGACAAAUACUAUUCCAUGGCACCCAGAGGUCUCUAUUCUCAACAGAAGAACUCUCUUGUCUGCCUAUGCAAGGUGAGCUCUGAACAUUGCCAGUGAAAUCAGAAAUAGAUGUAAUAGAUUUGAAAACUUAGAGUUUUCUCUUUCAGCCAUUUAAAUAGCACCUGAGAACCCUCCAGAGUGUUUCUUAAGCAUGAGUUGGCAUAACAAGGAAAUGACACUCUGACAUGGGCCCAGAACAGUGGUUGUAGCUCUUUGAUUCUAUGAUACAUGCUUUCCACUUGGACCUUGGGAAAAUUUUAACACAAGAAUAAAUAUAAUCAUCUAUGUGGAGUACUUUUACAUGGUGCCUGAUACAUGGUAAGUGCUCAUAAAUGGUAAUUUAGAAACUAAGACCACUGAAACUGAUUUUUUUGUGAAUUUGUGAAUAUUUGUGAAACAUGUACCUUUCUGAUGUGUACAUAUGACGGUGUCUUUAUUUUCCCAGGAAUUCAUGUUAGAUAGGUUGUGUGUCACAUGAGGUCUUAAAUGGAAGACUUGCAUGUAUUGGUGGAAAAGUCUUUGGCAGAUGGUGCUAAGACCACGCACUAGCCUGCUCUGAGUUUGCCUCCCUAGUGACAGGGCCUGGAGCUGUUUCUGGCCUGGAGGUUUCAUCCAGUCUUUCAGUGCCCCACCUUUGAUAGGGCAGAUGUGAGCACGAAAUGGAAAGAAGAUUUGGAGUUAGUGGUUUCACUAACUGUUCUUCUUGAAACCCUAGGCAGAGCCAGACCAAGUCGAGGCUUUCUUUUUCUUUUAAAGUGUAUUUAUUUAUUUUGAGAGAGAGAGAGAAUCCCAAGCAGGCAGGCUCUGUACUGUCAGAGCAGAGACUAACGUGAGGCUCAAUCUCACUAACUGUGAGAUCAUGACCUGCGCCAAAAUCAAGAGUUGGAUCCUUAACCAACUGAGCCACCCAGGCACCCAAGGCCAAGCUUUUAACCCAGGAGAACAGGGUCAAGGAGCAGACCUCAGUCUGCACUUUAAGCUUAAGGUGCAAGAGUAGUCACCCAAGUGGUCAGCUCUGGAUCUCCAGAGAAACGAUGACCCAGGAAUUUGGAUGGUAUACAGUUCUGAGGGAUUUAGGACCUUGGCCAUCAAUAGGAGAUGAAACUGAACAUUUGUUAAAAGGGGUAAUUGUGUCAUUUGGCACCUGCAGGAACCUGUUUAUACACUCGUCUGCCACUCUGAUGGUGACUCACUUUGAGAGUAGGGAACACUCUAGCCAUCUUUUCACCUGAAUGGCAUUUAUGACAUUCUAUGGUUUGUUUCUGCCCCCUCAGGAUAUAUACUCUAUGGUUCUAAAGUCCCAGAAAACAGACUGGAGUUUCAUGAUUUUUUUCAAACAAUUUCAGUGGUCUCAGUUUUUAAAUUACCAUUUACGAGCACUUACCAUGUAUCAGGCACCAUGUAAAAGUACUCCACAUAGAUGAUUGUAUUUACUCUUGUGUUAAAAUAUUCCCAAGGUCCAAUGACCUGUUAGUGCUGACGCUUAUAUUUGAACUUAAGUCUGUCUAGAUCCCAAACCCAUCUACUGAACUACGACAUUUGGACUGCCUCUGCAGCUACUAAAAGCAUCAAAGUUGAUACAUAUGGAAGUCAAAGACCCUGGCUCACCCACAGCAAAGGUCUUGGAGUUCCACCAGAACAGACUUCUCCAGCUUGCCUUGCAGUUGACCCCUGGAAACUAUCCAAAACUAAGUCUCCCACAGGCACAUUCCUGAUAUGGGCACAUGUGGCUCUCCCGGGAAAUAGCGCCCACUGUAGAAUGAGUUUCCGAUCUUCAUGAUGGUUUGAUAAAGGCAACUCCAAUAGGCACAAAAGCUGGUUAUGCUGUUAAUGACUAAAAACUGUUAUCAUCCUGAUUAAUGCUGCCGUUGUUAAGAACAAUGAUUAACUCAGAAAGAAGGACCCAGGGGAAAGAAAUAGUGACUAAUCAAUCUCAAAGGAAUUGCCAGGUGAUGUUUAUUUCAUGAGAAGUGGAGGGAACCAAAAUCGCAAUCAUUCUUUGGUGUUGACAGGUGAGCAGCAGUACAGCCAGAAUGCAUCCAUGUCCCAUUUCAGGUACAUGGUCAGCAAGUACUCAUGCAGGGGCAGCAGGAAAGGGAUGGGGGAGUUUGUCUUCAGCAGGCCACCCAACCACGGUACGCUGCCUCUGUGUGCCUCUCCUGUCUUCCCUCCAAUCUUAACAUCCACUUUCUCAAGAGCCAGUCUUCACCUGAGUUGCUAAUUAAGUAAUUUCCUUGUUCAUCUGACUUGGAUGGUUUUCUUGCAACACUGCCAAGUGGAAUGGCUCUUAAUUAUGUCAACUCAUGAAACCACACCAAAGGCAACCUUAUCAGAACACUAAUUUGUCAUAUUAUUUAAAGAAAAAAAAAUCAGCUAACUGAUGGGAGGCCAAUAAAAGCCCUUUUAUUAUAAAGCUCUUCAUCGCUCAUCAGCUUCCAAAACCAGCCUUGAUUCUGGCUAUUAAAACUACUCCAUGGGCAGAACAGAACCAAGAAGAAUAUCUCCUUAAGUAGGAAUGCAAAGAGAGUCCUACCUUUCUACCCAUUUAAAAUUGGACUUAACUUGAUCUUUCAAGAAACACAGUCAGUUGAUCACAGAUACAAUGUCAGAGUGCUUGGCUUGGGGGUGAUGGUAUAAGACAUAAAUAAGAGAAGCAACAGAGACCUGAUUUUCUAGCCUUGCCCAUCUUCCUCAGAGAGUUGCUCUGGGAACAUAUGCUUUGGAGAAAUCCUUUCUAAGAGAAGUGAUUUCUGUCUAGUGCCAUCCAUCAGAAUUCACUCCCAGCCCAGGAGGAAGAAAGAAGGUGAUGUGAUAACAGAACCAGAGAGUGAGAUUUAAAUGCUAUGCUGAUGUUUUGAAAAUUGAGGGGGUACCAUGAGCCAAGGAAUGCAGGUGGCCUCUAGAAUCUGCAAAAGGCAAGGAAGUAGAUUCUCCCCUAGAGCCUCCAGAAGGAGUGUGGCCCUGCCAACAUCUUGAUUUCAGCCCCGUGAAAUACAUUUCAGACUUCUGACCUCCAGAACUGUAAGAUAAUAAAUUUGUGUUGCUGUA
This is a long non-coding RNA of Felis catus (domestic cat), 7440 nucleotides long. RefSeq lists it as uncharacterized. The transcript has 3 exons. Lineage: Eukaryota; Metazoa; Chordata; Mammalia; Carnivora; Felidae. The record is from RefSeq and is a predicted model, not a curated record.